This 252-nucleotide ribosomal RNA is filed under the name uncultured bacterium. Its description in RNAcentral is "partial 16S ribosomal RNA". It matches the Rfam family "Bacterial small subunit ribosomal RNA", at positions 524 to 776 of the family's 1533-position model. The record is from RNAcentral.
UACGUAGGGGGCUAGCGUUGUCCGGAAUCAUUGGGCGUAAAGCGCGUGUAGGCGGCCCGGUAAGUCCGCUGUGAAAGUCGGGGGCUCAACCCUCGAAUGCCGGUGGAUACUGUCGGGCUAGAGUACGGAAGAGGCGAGUGGAAUUCCUGGUGUAGCGGUGAAAUGCGCAGAUAUCAGGAGGAACACCCAUUGCGAAGGCAGCUCGCUGGGACGUUACUGACGCUGAGACGCGAAAGCGUGGGAGCAAACAGG